AUUGAACGCUGGCGGCAUGCCUUACACAUGCAAGUCGAACGGUAACAGGUCUUCGGAUGCUGACGAGUGGCGAACGGGUGAGUAAUACAUCGGGACGUGCCUAGUAGUGGGGGAUAAUUACGCGAAAGAGUGGCCAAUACCGCAUGAGAUCUAAGGAUGAAAGCAGGGGAGCGAAGGACCUUGUGCUACUAGAGCGGCCGAUGGCAGAAUAGGUCGUUGGUGGGAUAAAAGCUUACCAAGCCGACGAUCUGUAGCUGGUCUGCGAGGACGAUCAGCCACACUGGGACUGAGACACGGCCCAGACUCCUACGGGAGGCAGCAGUGGGGGAUUUUGGACAAUGGGCGCAAGCCUGAUCCAGCAAUGCCGCGUGCAGGAUGAAGGCCUUCGGGUUGUAAACUGCUUUUGUACGGAACGAAAAGCCCCGGGUUAAUACCCUGGGGUCAUGACGGUACCGUAAGAAUAAGCACCGGCUAACUACGUGCCAGCCGCCGCAGUAA
RNAcentral lists this ribosomal RNA (498 nucleotides) under uncultured bacterium. Its description in RNAcentral is "partial 16S ribosomal RNA". It matches the Rfam family "Bacterial small subunit ribosomal RNA", at positions 30 to 523 of the family's 1533-position model. The record is from RNAcentral.